RNAcentral lists this unclassified non-coding RNA (336 nucleotides) under uncultured soil eukaryote. RNAcentral's name for it is "sequence contains 5.8S rRNA gene, ITS2, 28S rRNA gene". The record is from RNAcentral.
AACGCAUAUUGCGCUCGAGCCCUCGGGCAAGAGCAUGUCUGCCUCAGCGUCGGUUUAUACCCUCAUCCCUCCCAUGUAUGGGUUGGUCGACUCAGUGCUAGUUGGCUAGGGGGUGGAGCUGGCUUCCCCAAUCUCGUGCAGAUUGGGUUGGCUGAAGAGUAGAGGCUUAAACAAGGACCCGGUAUGGGCUUCAACUGGAUAGGUAGGGCCGGCAACACGCCAAAUCUACACGAAGUUGUAGCUUGAGGACUUUGUUAGGAGCCAAGCAGGAAACAUGCCUACCCGGCAUGCCUAAACUUUCGACUGAGCUCAGGCAAGGCUACCCGCUGAACUUAA